GUCGCACCAGAGUGCAGGAGUAAGCGGGGGUUUUGCUGGACCAAGGAUUAAACCCAAGAUGAACUGUUUUGGUUUAAUAAGCCAGAAUUAUUAUUAUUAUUGUUAUUUUUAAUACAUUUUAUCCUUUUCCAGAAUGCAUUUGAGCUUGCUUCUUUCUUUUGGUUCUGGGUACUCCUUUCCUCCUGUAGUUCUUAUGAUUGUUUCAGAAUUCUGUCAUAAAUAAUCAAGGGGGCCCGAUGACAUUAACAAGUUUUACAUUGUUGUCAUUUUGAAUUUUAAUCUCUGGCAUUCCCCUACCUAUGAAUUUUCCCAAAUACUAAUGUGCUGUAUGAAAGAUCAAUGGAGACGCAUUUCUCAACGUUAAAGGCUAAAAAAAGUGGAUUUUGCUUUUGUGUUUCUUCUCGUUUUUUUCUUUUUCCUUGGGUAGAUAGGCAGUUCAUGAAAGUGAUAACAUCAUAUAAGCAGCUUUGACAAAGGUGUGCUUUUAAUGCAGUUGCAGUCCGGGUAUAAUUCGUGCUUCAUAAAGAACCACUUGCUGUUAUAUCUGCGACUAGUUCUGGGGUUUGUGGGACAGUUUUUAUGCAGCUAUAGCACCUUGCCACUAUAUGCACUGGAUACUCAGGUACACGGACGAACCGAGAACAUAAAAUCAGAAUCCACUGUUGCCUUGAAGUUAAAAGAUGCACUGAUCAAUUAAAAUGCAUUGUCCAUACGUUUCCUUCUGAUAACAUUUAAGUGCUGUUUUGGAAUGUAAGAUUGAACCACUCACAAGAAAGAAAAAGGCUGAAAUCUU
Molecule: long non-coding RNA, 793 nt
Organism: Olea europaea var. sylvestris
Lineage: Eukaryota; Viridiplantae; Streptophyta; Magnoliopsida; Lamiales; Oleaceae
Exons: 3
Source: RefSeq, a predicted model, not a curated record